GAGAUGAAGAGCAGACUCAAUCUUUCAUGAAAGCGUGAUCAAUGGAGAGAGAGAAGGAAGAGAAAAAAUUGGGUGAGGGACCCCAAAUCUCAAAAAUGGAUCCUGUGACUCACGGUGCCUACGGUGGCGGAAUGUACGGUACCGAGAAAGGCCAACCGGAGAAACCUACAAAGCCACCGGCUAGUGACAGUCAGAGUGCUGAUGGCCCCGUUGAUAAGGACGCUAUCAAGCCCAAACUCAAUCCUCCCCCUUCAUCUGGGGACAGAGAUUUAGACAUCACCGGCCAAUCUUAUAUCCAGUAACAUAUAUAUAUAUAUGCAAAUAUGUAAUAAUUAAUAUGUAAUGAUAAGGGUGUUGCUUCAUUAAAUCUCUUAUAAUGUUUAGGUUCGUCUCUAAAAUUAUGUAGAUUUUAAAGGAAUUUCAACACUGUUGCUGAGUAGUUAAAUUAAGAGUUAAUCUUGAGCUAUAUUUAAAAAAUAUAUAAUCUUAGUUUAGAGCAUAAUUGAAAAUUAAUCAGUAUUUAUUUCCACUAACAAAAUAUACUAUUAAUUUUAGUUUAGAUAUUAUAUUAGUGGUUUGGUUGAUUUGUUCCUAUAGCUGUAACUUUUUUUAAAAUAAAAAACUGGAAUUUAAUUAUUUUUAACUAAUUCAUAUGCAAUAAUUGAGGAAUCAACUUGAUAAAAGAGGCCAUCCCACGUUGAUAACUUUACUGGAAUAACUACAUAACUUAAAAUAUAUUUCAUGCCUUAAAAAUCUGAAUUUUCAGCUUCUCAUAUAUGUGAUUUUAAAACUAGUUUUGCAAUGGCAGAGUAGUAAUUAGAGAAAGAGAGGGAGUUGGGAACGAUGGGCCAAAAGGAAGAAAAGGCAAAGCGACCUUCUUGGAAUGGUCCCAUCGUUUUGUGCGAAACUUUCCAAAGUGCCAAAGUGCCAAAGUGAAGAAAGAAAAGAGACGAUGAGAAAGCGAUAUAGUUUACAAAAAGAUGAAUUUAAGAUAUUAUAUUAGUUACACAAUCUCUUACUUAUUUAUUACAUUGUUAACCCUUCACUUUCUAUUCUUUUUUAUUCAUAUGAUAUAAAAAAUGUCAUUAUUUAUAAAAUUCUUACUGCAUCACCUUUUAUAUUUAUUACAUUAAAACCGAUAUAAGUAAAAAAUAAUUUUUGUACCGGAAAAAUUAAGAAGUGGUGCAUGCACGCAGUGGUGUAAGAAGUGGACCUGUAUUGUAUGUUGUGUUAGAUUCUUAAAAAAGAGUGCCUUAAUUUGUGUGCAUGUCUCUGUACUAUGUACUACAAAGAAAAAACUAUUGGAAGGUGGUGAAAUAAAGGGUGACAAAGCACAACUGCUUUUAGUUGCACAGAGUACGUGCAUGACACAAACGCUAAUUCAAUCGGGUCAUGAUUUUGAUGCUAAAAAACAUUCACUGUUUUGUCUUUUAUGUUCUUUUCAUUUUUUAAUUAUUGAAUUUUAUCUUUUUAAUGACAUCUAAAAAUAGCUUCUCAAGGAAUUGGUGCGUUAUUAAAAAGUUAUUUUUCAUUUCAAACAGCCUUUGGCUUAUAUCAACUAACAUUUUCUUCACAUCCUCUGGUAAACUUUUAAAUUGAUUUUUAGCGUAAAGAAGCUAGAAUUCCAAGAAAGUAACCCAGCGCGAAAAAUACUUGUAUGUAGUGAAUAAUCGAUAUUUUGGGUCAUAAGUGGGAAAAAUAAGCUAAGUUGAUCUAAGAUAAACUUAACGUCAUCCACCUUCACGCAUCUAGAUGACGAUGAGAGUUUCUGACAAAAGAUCCUUCAUUUUUUGUUAUCUCUUCAGACUAGAUGACUGAUAAGUUAGGGU
Molecule: long non-coding RNA, 1829 nt
Filed under: Vigna radiata
Lineage: Eukaryota; Viridiplantae; Streptophyta; Magnoliopsida; Fabales; Fabaceae
Description: long non-coding RNA (VRAD_LNC003918)
Source: RNAcentral